Molecule: long non-coding RNA, 1098 nt
Filed under: Bemisia tabaci
Lineage: Eukaryota; Metazoa; Arthropoda; Insecta; Hemiptera; Aleyrodidae
Description: lncRNA ENSSSA3NGG007613
Source: RNAcentral
AUGUUUACAUGUUGAACCAAUCGAUAUCGAUACAAUCUCACCCGUUUGAUGUAUCGAAUACGAUCUAUUGGCGAUAGCGAUACGAUAAGCUUAUCGCAAAUCGCAAGCAUGGCCGCACGCAGUGGUCGCUGAUCUAUGAGAUGCGUACUCUGGAGGCAUCAGGUCAACUGAUGGUUACCCGAUGGGUACCGUUGAGAGUUUGACGAUCGUUCUCUAGGACUUGCUGACUUCUCGCUAAUUGCCCGAUGACUGUCAUGGCGGGCCAUCGGCCAACGCAAUCGCCCAGCACCUUUCAAAGGUGAUGGGCAAGGCCGCUGAGCGUUGAGAUAACCUCAAUGUCUUUUUAAAUAGUAAACAAUACAAAACCUGAGCCGCCAUGACAGUCACAUGACGAAAGUUGGUUUGCAGUUGGUCAUCGGGCAAUUCACGAAAAUCAGUCAUCGAAUUUCUCUGAUGCCUCCAAAGAACGCAUCUAUGAUUUCUUCCCGAGCACGAGCAUGUGAUUUCACAGUAAAGUUUUAAGAAUAAGCGCCCUCGGUAACAGUUUUCUGCAUUUUAAUUUUACAAAACGUGCACCUAACUUGUGAAGUUGAAAAUUAAAUUCGUAAGUAAGAUGUCUUCCAUUCUCCGCUCGACGAUUUAUUUCCGGCAGUAUCUUAACCUCAAUCGUUCCCUAGCCGUAGCUAUUUCACCAACGAAGUUUCCUUAUAUCACCAGGAAAACCAUACUUACUCCCAUCGUUUGCUCUUCAUCGGAAAGUGUAAGGAGUUACUUUGACGCUGCAAAUGUGUCUAUUAGUUCUGUUUUGAACAGAGUGGACACCUCUGUAAGGCGAAAGUUUAGAGUCACAGAGAUAGACUUAAAUAAUAUACUUGAACUCCUCAAACACCAGUGCUCGGUCACUCCAUCUGAAGCUGUGUUGAUUCUGCGGAGUUGUGGAAGUCUCUUGGCGGAAGUACUCCCAGAACAGAGGCGAAAGCUUGUUGAGGAACUGCUGGAAAUUUUCAAAAGAUUGGUAAGUAGCAUCUCAUUUACUGUAAGCCAUUGAGCUGUAAUGCUGAAAAUAUUUAUCUGAUGAUUUGCCAAUAAUUUUGAUAU